AUUGAACGCUGGCGGCAUGCCUUACACAUGCAAGUCGAACGGCAGCACGGGUGCUUGCACCUGGUGGCGAGUGGCGAACGGGUGAGUAAUACAUCGGAACAUGUCCUGUAGUGGGGGAUAGCCCGGCGAAAGCCGGAUUAAUACCGCAUACGAUCUACGGAUGAAAGCGGGGGACCUUCGGGCCUCGCGCUAUAGGGUUGGCCGAUGGCUGAGUAGCUAGUUGGUGGGGUAAAGGCCUACCAAGGCGACGAUCAGUAGCUGGUCUGAGAGGACGACCAGCCACACUGGGACUGAGACACGGCCCAGACUCCUACGGGAGGCAGCAGUGGGGAAUUUUGGACAAUGGGCGAAAGCCUGAUCCAGCAAUGCCGCGUGUGUGAAGAAGGCCUUCGGGUUGUAAAGCACUUUUGUCCGGAAAGAAAUCCUUGGCCCUAAUACGGUCGGGGGAUGACGGUACCGGAAGAAUAAGCACCGGCUAACUACGUG
RNAcentral lists this ribosomal RNA (486 nucleotides) under uncultured bacterium. RNAcentral's name for it is "partial 16S ribosomal RNA". It matches the Rfam family "Bacterial small subunit ribosomal RNA", at positions 30 to 507 of the family's 1533-position model. The record is from RNAcentral.